Molecule: ribosomal RNA, 480 nt
Filed under: uncultured bacterium
Lineage: Bacteria
Description: partial 16S ribosomal RNA
Rfam family: Bacterial small subunit ribosomal RNA
Source: RNAcentral
GACGAACGCUGGCGGCGUGCCUAACACAUGCAAGUCGAGCGAGUGGAUCUCCUUCGGGAGUGAAGCUAGCGGCGGACGGGUGAGUAACACGUGGGCAACCUGCCUCAUAGAGGGGAAUAGCCUUUCGAAAGGAAGAUUAAUACCGCAUAAGAUUGUAGCUUCGCAUGAAGUAGCAAUUAAAGGAGCAAUCCGCUAUGAGAUGGGCCCGCGGCGCAUUAGCGAGUUGGUGAGGUAACGGCUCACCAAGGCGACGAUGCGUAGCCGACCUGAGAGGGUGAUCGGCCACAUUGGGACUGAGACACGGCCAAGACUCCUACGGGAGGCAGCAGUGGGGAAUAUUGCACAAUGGGGGAAACCCUGAUGCAGCAACGCCGCGUGAGUGAUGACGGCCUUCGGGUUGUAAAGCUCUGUCUUCAGGGACGAUAAUGACGGUACCUGAGGAGGAAGCCACGGCUAACUACGUGCCAGCAGCCGCCGUAA